This 1343-nucleotide ribosomal RNA is filed under the name uncultured bacterium. Its description in RNAcentral is "16S ribosomal RNA". It matches the Rfam family "Bacterial small subunit ribosomal RNA", at positions 28 to 1378 of the family's 1533-position model. The record is from RNAcentral.
GACGAACGCUGGCGGCGUGCUUAACACAUGCAAGUCGAACGGAAAGGCCCUGCUUUUGUGGGGUGCUCGAGUGGCGAACGGGUGAGUAACACGUGAGUAACCUGCCCUUGACUUUGGGAUAACUUCAGGAAACUGGGGCUAAUACCGGAUAGGAGCUCCUGCUGCAUGGUGGGGGUUGGAAAGUUUCGGCGGUUGGGGAUGGACUCGCGGCUUAUCAGCUUGUUGGUGGGGUAGUGGCUUACCAAGGCUUUGACGGGUAGCCGGCCUGAGAGGGUGACCGGCCACAUUGGGACUGAGAUACGGCCCAGACUCCUACGGGAGGCAGCAGUGGGGAAUAUUGCACAAUGGGCGGAAGCCUGAUGCAGCAACGCCGCGUGCGGGAUGACGGCCUUCGGGUUGUAAACCGCUUUCGCCUGUGACGAAGCGUGAGUGACGGUAAUGGGUAAAGAAGCACCGGCUAACUACGUGCCAGCAGCCGCGGUGAUACGUAGGGUGCGAGCGUUGUCCGGGUUUAUUGGGCGUAAAGGGCUCGUAGGUGGUUGAUCGCGUCGGAAGUGUAAUCUUGGGGCUUAACCCUGAGCGUGCUUUCGAUACGGGUUGACUUGAGGAAGGCAGGGGAGAAUGGAAUUCCUGGUGGAGCGGUGGAAUGCGCAGAUAUCAGGAGGAACACCAGUGGCGAAGGCGGUUCUCUGGGCCUUUCCUGACGCUGAGGAGCGAAAGCGUGGGGAGCGAACAGGCUUAGAUACCCUGGUAGUCCACGCUGUAAACGGUGGGUACUAGGUGUGGGGUCCAUUCCACGGGUUCCGUGCCGUAGCUAACGCUUUAAGUACCCCGCCUGGGGAGUACGGCCGCAAGGCUAAAACUCAAAGGAAUUGACGGGGCCCCGCACAAGCGGCGGAGCAUGCGGAUUAAUUCGAUGCAACGCGUAGAACCUUACCUGGGUUUGACAUGGAUCGGGAGUGCUCAGAGAUGGGUGUGCCUCUUUUGGGGUCGGUUCACAGGUGGUGCAUGGCUGUCGUCAGCUCGUGUCGUGAGAUGUUGGGUUAAGUCCCGCAACGAGCGCAACCCUUGUUCACUGUUGCCAGCACGUUAUGGUGGGGACUCAGUGGAGACCGCCGGGGUCAACUCGGAGGAAGGUGGGGAUGACGUCAAGUCAUCAUGCCCCUUAUGUCCAGGGCUUCACGCAUGCUACAAUGGCUGGUACAGAGAGUGGCGAGCCUGUGAGGGUGAGCGAAUCUCGGAAAGCCGGUCUCAGUUCGGAUUGGGGUCUGCAACUCGACCUCAUGAAGUCGGAGUCGCUAGUAAUCGCAGAUCAGCAACGCUGCGGUGAAUACGUUCCCGGG